RNAcentral lists this ribosomal RNA (301 nucleotides) under uncultured bacterium. Its description in RNAcentral is "partial 16S ribosomal RNA". It matches the Rfam family "Bacterial small subunit ribosomal RNA", at positions 509 to 807 of the family's 1533-position model. The record is from RNAcentral.
CAGUAGCCGCGGUAAUACGAAGGGGGCUAGCGUUGUUCGGAAUUACUGGGCGUAAAGCGCGCGUAGGCGGUUACUCAAGUCAGAGGUGAAAGCCCGGGGCUCAACCCCGGAACUGCCUUUGAAACUAGGUGACUAGAAUCUUGGAGAGGUCAGUGGAAUUCCGAGUGUAGAGGUGAAAUUCGUAGAUAUUCGGAAGAACACCAGUGGCGAAGGCGACUGACUGGACAAGUAUUGACGCUGAGGUGCGAAAGCGUGGGGAGCAAACAGGAUUAGAUACCCCCGUAGUCCCUGUCUCUUAUAC